Long non-coding RNA from Hibiscus syriacus, 154 nucleotides. RefSeq lists it as uncharacterized. The transcript has 3 exons. NCBI's taxonomy places the organism in Eukaryota, Viridiplantae, Streptophyta, Magnoliopsida, Malvales, Malvaceae. The record is from RefSeq and is a predicted model, not a curated record.
AUUUUAAAGAAAAGGAAAAGUAGAAUCAACUAGGGUUGUGGAGGAGGGCAAAAUAUGUAACCAGUUCUGGGGUUAGUAUUUGGCCCUGGUUCUUUAUAAUCCCUCAGUUCAAUCAUCUCCCUCCAUCUAUCUGCAAAUUCCUGUUAGCCAAACA